RNAcentral lists this ribosomal RNA (406 nucleotides) under uncultured bacterium. RNAcentral's name for it is "partial 16S ribosomal RNA". It matches the Rfam family "Bacterial small subunit ribosomal RNA", at positions 30 to 526 of the family's 1533-position model. The record is from RNAcentral.
CUUGAACGCUGGCGGCAGGCCUAACACAUGCAAGUCGAACGCGUGGCGGACGGGUGAGUAAUGUCUGGGACACUGCCUGAUGGAGGGGGAUAACUACUGAAAACGGUAGCUAAUACCGCAUACCAUCAGAUGUGCCCCGAUGUGAUUAGCUUGUUGGUUGGGUAACUGCUCACCAAGGCGACGAUCCCUCGCUGGUCUGAGAGGAUGACAAGCAACACUGGAACUGAGACACGGUCCAGACUCCUACGUGAUGCAGCAGUGGGGAAUAUUGCACAAUGGUCGCAAGCCUGAUGCAGCCAUGCCGCGUGUAUUAAGAAGGCCUUCGGGUUGUAAAGUACUUUCAGCGGUGAGGCGUUACCCGCAGAAGAAGCACCGGCUAACUCCGUGCCAGCAGCCGCGGUAAUAC